Mustela lutreola (European mink) is the source of this 4837-nucleotide long non-coding RNA. RefSeq lists it as uncharacterized. The transcript is spliced from 4 exons. The record is from RefSeq and is a predicted model, not a curated record. Lineage: Eukaryota; Metazoa; Chordata; Mammalia; Carnivora; Mustelidae.
UCGCACGCACGGCACACUUCGAGACAACUCUUGAACGCCGACCCGAAGGAAGAGGGUCGAGUCCUGACGGGAAGCUACGUGAGGCCGAUUCUCUGCUGCCUGUUUCAUCGCCCUUUCCCACAAGGCCUGGGGGCCACCUCCUGGGCCUCAGGACCUGGUGCCACGAGGUCCAUUCUGGCAAACAGGGCACAGACAAGAGGGCCGAUGGGUUUUGGGGUGUAUUAGGCACCGUCCCCACGGUUUUGCCCGAUCCACUCUGGAGUGUUUUGGGCGUCCUUGAUCCGUCUGGGGUGGAGGAAGCCUGCCCGGGAGGUACCCAGGUGCAGAGAGCAGAGGGGGCCUCGAACUGAUGAUUUCCUGCAGGUCAUCCAUGCGGCAUCGAGAUUCAGGCGAGAGAGAAUCCAUUUCUCGUUCCCGGUUAUGAAGUGUCCUUGCUCACCAGGCCCCGGUUCUCAGCACCCCUCGCCACCCCCCACCCAGCCUCCUCCAUGGCUGCUGGUGGCCUGGUGGGGCCAGACCUUCCAGGGACAGUGCACCGACCCUCCCGAGCGGGCACUAUGAGGCCACCGCCAAGUGGCAAGGGCUCGUGGGACGGACCUUUCCCGGGCACAAACCUGCAGGCACUUGUCACUGCUGAUGUGACAGAGCACGGCAACAGAGACCCAUGAACCACGCCAAGGCUCUCCCCCAGGACACUGCGCAUUACCAAGGAGAGUAGCCUGGUGGACACCCUGAGUCGAGUGGCCAAAGCUCACCUCCUUCUGAGAUGGUCCUGCCUGAGGGGCCCAGCUGGAACCCGUCACAGGGCAGACAGACGGAGUCACACCUGCCAGUUCCCUUUGGAGGACCUCUCCGGGCCACCGAGCUGUCCCACUAGGGGAGAUGUGGGAGGUGGGGUGAUGGAGUGCAGUGAGGGGUCCUGCUCCAGGGGGAGGUCGCCGGGGACACGGAGGAGCUGGACCAGGUCUGCACCCGAGUAAAGGGCUCAGACCGGCGCUGGUCCCUGGACAUGGGGUUGCAUAAGGUGCUAGCAGUGGGAUCCUAGUGAGGGCACAGGAGAAGGAUCUGGAUUGUUUCUGCAGGGGUUUUGCAGGUCUGGAAUAAUUUCAAAAUCUCAAAUUAAAGAAAAGCUCCAGGAAAACAAAGUGUGUCAUGACGGAUGAAAUCCUUUCACUUGAAUCAACUGUGACGGUCAGGUCAGGCCGCGCAUGGCCCCCAGUGGGACACGGUGAAGGGCAGGGUGCUUGGGGCAGACCCACUCCACACGAGUGCUUUUUACGACUGCGGUCCUCCUGGGCGUCAGGAAGUCCUUCCGCAAGGGCGUCCUUCGGUGCCCGUGGCCUCCGUGCAGGUGCUGGCGGCAUCGGGGUUGGGACCACCUCGAGAAGGGCAACAUUCUGCAUUUCAUGACCUCGGGACCAUGACGGGACUGACGUGUGGGAGCGUCCAUGCCCCUCGGACCCAGAUACCUCCGAAUGCUAAAGGAACAUCACAUCGAGCCCACUUCUAGCUCCGCUUAAGCCUACGCCAACCAGGCAGCUUGCGCUCACUCCGGUAGCGAGUGUGGCCGUUUCAGUCGGCAAAUCAGGUAUGGUGAGGUGUCGGGCGCCUGCGUCCAGCCCGGGGCCGCUCGAUGGCCACGCAGCAGAGCUGUGGUUCUGAGGGCCGGAAACGGGGGAGUCUGGCAGGAUGUUUGGUGAAUCUAGAACAUUCCCCUGCAAGGGUGCUGGGGUUAUCACUGACCUUUUUAAGAUUUAUUUUAGGGAAUGAGAGAGAGCAGACCGUGGGGACGGGCAGAGGGAGAGGGAGAAUCCGGAGCAGAGCCCCACUGAGCGUGGAGCCCGACGGAGCGCGAUCCCAGGACCCUGAUGUCAUGACUUGAGUGGAAACUAGGGGUCAGAUGCUCAACUGCCUGGGCCCCCCAGGCGUCCACAUCACGGAGCUCUUAGUAUAAAAAUGUGGUGCUCUCCCCCGUCCCCGAAUCUGGUGGGGGAGGGCUCCAAAGCCUGGAGAUCCCACCGUGUCUUUACGCUGCAACGCGGGUGGCCACCGGAACCGCGGGCCAGCCUCUGGGGAGGGGCCUCUGAGUCCCACCUGGGACCUCUGUGGGCGACGCUCGGUCCCCUUCUCCUCUCUCCUUGCUCAGAAACACCUGCAGGAAGACCCCCCCUGCCCCCGUCCCCGAGGACUGGCCGACAGUACCUUCGUCUGGACCAUGCCUGGUCUCUGGUCCCUCAGGUGCUCUAGGGUCGCGGCGAUGUCGAUCUCCUUGGCGCCUGCAACGACACACACAGGUGCCACCUCCGCUCGGCACCAGAGCACAGGGCGUGGGAGCCACCACCCCACCCCGCGCGGGAGACCGAGGCUCGUCCCGGUGAAACAGCCUGUCCCUGGUCACGCGGCCCGUGGCCGUGGUUGUCGUCAGCCCGCACCGGGCAGGGUGCACCAGGUCCUGACGGGCCCCUCUCUCUCUGCACAACCUACAUGAGCACGUCGCUCCUCUCGGCACAGAACCAGAACCGCCAACUUGGACGUUUCAAAGGUAGUUUUUCAAGUUCUGGGGCUUAUUUGGCCGGAACCCAAGCAGCCCGUGAUGUUUCCCAAGCACAGCGGGUUGAGCUGGGCAGAGCGGGGGGCGAGGUGGGCGCUGUGGCUGCCGCCCCCGCACCUCCCUCUCCCCGCCGGUCCUGGAGCAGACAGGAUGGGGGCACUCAGCACGCCGGGGCCUGCAGCGGAAGUGCUGGCCUUACGGGAACUAGGCUGGCAGUCCUUCCAGACACGGGGCACUGUCCUAGCAGGAACGGGGACACCCUGAGUUUCCCCAGGCGUUCCAUCAGGGCUUUCAUAGCAAGGAGAAGAAAUCCCCCAUUGGAACAGCCAGACGGUCCCCCAGGGUGCUCGGCAGCUGGCGUCGCUGAGAAACUCAUCCAAGGAAAGGACAGGGGUCGAGUUCUGGACGUGCGUCUCCUCGGGUGUGACGAGGCCACAAUAAAUUUGUUUUAAGGGAACCCACGACCCUCUGUCCUGUCCUGUGGAUCUGUGUGUCUAUUUUUGUGCCGGUACCAGGCUGGCUUGGCGAUCCCAGCUUUGUAACAAGAGCUCGAAGUCCGGAUUGUGAUGCCGCUGGCUUUGGUUUUCUUUUUCUUUUCUUCUUUUUGAAAAACAUUUUAUUUAUUUAUUUGACAGAGAGAGAGAGAGAGAGAGCACAAGCAGGGGGAGGGGCAGAGGGAGACGCAGGCUUCCCGUUGAGAAGGGAGCUCGACACGGGCUUGAUCCCAGGACCUGAGCCCAAGGCAGACGCUUAACUGACUGAGCCCCCAGGCGCCCCUGGUUUUCUUUUUCAAGGUUGCUUUGGGUGUUUGGAGCCUGUUGUGGCUCUGUACACAUUUAAGGAUUUGUCUAGUUCUGUGAAUGAUGCUGGUGGUAUUUUGCUAGGGAUUACAUGAAACGUGUAGACGCUUUGGGUAGUGUAGACAUUUUAACGAUGUCUGUAAAAAACAGACGACCGCAGCGGCAGGGGGAGGAGAGGGAGAGCGGGAGCGGGACCGCAGGACACGCCUGAAGACAGAGACCACAGCGGGGCUGCGGCUGGGCGGCGCGGGUGCGGGCAGGAAGGGGGCGCUUGGGGCGGGGGGUGAGCACUGGGCGUGUGAGUGACGAACCUCUGAAUUCUCCUCCAGAAACCAACACUGUGUGUUCACGAAUCUUCAAGUACGAAAAAUAAAGCUCAAUGGAUCAGAAACAGUGAGUAGAAAUAAAGGGAACCGCCGAGUCUGAGAAUCUGAAACAAACAGGAGUUUGCCUGCUGCUAAACGGGGAGUCAGACAAGAGAGGAGCCCAGCGGCCGGAGCGGGAGGCCACAGUGUGGGGCGCCCCCCGCGGCGGCCACGGCCUGAGGAUCUGCUGCCUCGUCUUCCCAGGGAAGCUCCCUCCAGUGGAAUCCCCUCUUUAAAAAUCCCGUUUUGUGACGACACGUGAAACUGGAGGUGGACGGACCCGGUGCGGUGCUCAGUGGGAGAGCCAGAACGUUGGCUUCCAAGUUUACGUACCCGCUACAUACAUUUUUAAGCCUGGAGAGGUUUUUAACCCCUAGAUAAAAAGUAUUAAUCAUGAAACAAUGAACACCUCAAGAAUAGUAGUAUGAUUAAAAUAUUAAAACUUUUUUUGGAGCCGGGGCGUCUGGUUGUUUCAGUCGGUCAAGUGUCUGCUUUCGGCUCAGGCCAUGACCCAGGGUCCUGGGACGGAGCCCUGCAUCAGGCUUCUUACGCAGUGGGGAGUCUGCGUCUCCUGCUCCCGCGCCCCCUGCUUGUGUCCCCUCUCUCGCUGUCUCUGUCACAUAAAUAAAACCUUAAAAGAAAAAAAAGUUCCUUUUACAUUGAAAGGAUGUUCUUGAAAUUUAAGAAAACCAGGGUCUUGAUGGGGUGGGCUUUGAGCUUUCCUGGUGUUGGUUCCCGGCCGCCGGCUCGUGCGGACAGUCCGCCCACCGUGGCCAGCAGGCCUCCUGGCAGGUGCGCACCCUCGCACAGCCUCCGUGGUGAUGCCCGACACACAAACCCGUUUCGUCGGCUUCUCCCCACAAGGUGUGCACAAGCAGGGCUCCCAUGCACUCUCUUCUUCAAGGUAGAAAGACAAGGUGUGUCAAGUGUGCAAGAGGGAAAGCCUUCGGUUUGCACGAGCCGGUGGUCUGGCUUCUGCCGUCAGGAGGCGCCGAGUGGGGGCUGUGCUCUGGCCGGGGAGAGCCACGCCCGCCGCACACGGCCCCAGCUCCGCCUCGGACAAGACCCGGUGGGCUUGGGCACUGUCCCGCAGGUGUGCGCACUGCACACGCGCACACACA